AUUGAACGCUGGCGGCAGGCCUAACACAUGCAAGUCGAACGGUAACAGGAAGAAGCCUGCUUCUUUGCUGACGAGUGGAGGACGUGUGAGUAAUGUCUGGGAAACUGCCUGAUGGAGGGGGAUAACUACUGGAAACGGUAGCUAAUACCGCAUAACGUCGCAAGACCAAAAAGGGGGACCUGCGGGCCUCUUGCCAUCGGAUGUGCCCAGAUGGGAUUAGCUAGUAGGUGGGGUAACGGCUCACCUAGUCGACGAUCCUUAGCGCGUCUGAGAGGAUGACCAGCCACGCUGGAACUGAGACACGGUCCAGACUCCUACGGGAGGCAGCAGUGGGGAAUAUUGCACAAUGGGCGCAAGCCUGAUGCAGCCAUGCCGCGUGUAUGAAGAAGGCCUUCGGGUUGUAAAGUACUUUCAGCGGGGAGGAAGGGAGUAAAGUUAAUACCUUUGCUCAUUGACGUUACCCGCAGAAGAAGCACCGGCUAACUCCGUG
This 490-nucleotide ribosomal RNA is filed under the name uncultured bacterium. RNAcentral's name for it is "partial 16S ribosomal RNA". It matches the Rfam family "Bacterial small subunit ribosomal RNA", at positions 30 to 507 of the family's 1533-position model. The record is from RNAcentral.